GCACGUCCAAGCACCCAGCGGCUGCUGUAGUUCUAUAUUCUUCACUUUAUCUUCUCUUUAAACCAAAUCCCAUCUCUUAUUCAAUUUCUUUUAUCUUAUCUUCCUCCCUCUCUGGCCGUUGCCGAUCGCCAGCAGUUUCACUUUCUGCUGCAACCUCCGACAACUCUGAAUCGGCCGGAAUCUAACUGGGAAUUCCAAGCACAGGGUAAGAGAUUUCAGCACCAAUGGCUUUUAGAAGCGUCUCGUUCCCAUCUACAGCUCCCAUUUCUCAUGUUCAAAGAUUCAAAGACUUGCAGUCUUUUGGUGGAAUCAACUACGUUAAACCAUACACGUCAACUGGGCUUGUUUCUGAGUUACCCUCACACUGCAAAGCUAGUAAACUAUUUUUG
RNAcentral lists this unclassified non-coding RNA (389 nucleotides) under Hevea brasiliensis (rubber tree). The record is from RNAcentral. Lineage: Eukaryota; Viridiplantae; Streptophyta; Magnoliopsida; Malpighiales; Euphorbiaceae.